This 470-nucleotide ribosomal RNA is filed under the name Paenibacillus sp. WB82. RNAcentral describes it as "bacterial SSU rRNA". It matches the Rfam family "Bacterial small subunit ribosomal RNA", at positions 92 to 548 of the family's 1533-position model. Lineage: Bacteria; Bacillati; Bacillota; Bacilli; Caryophanales; Paenibacillaceae. The record is from RNAcentral.
UUAGCGGCGGACGGGUGAGUAACACGUAGGCAACCUGCCCCUUAGACUGGGAUAACUACCGGAAACGGUAGCUAAUACCGGAUAAUUUCUUUUUUCUCCUGAAGAAAGAAUGAAAGACGGAGCAAUCUGUCACUGAGGGAUGGGCCUGCGGCGCAUUAGCUAGUUGGUGGGGUAACGGCCCACCAAGGCGACGAUGCGUAGCCGACCUGAGAGGGUGAACGGCCACACUGGGACUGAGACACGGCCCAGACUCCUACGGGAGGCAGCAGUAGGGAAUCUUCCGCAAUGGACGAAAGUCUGACGGAGCAACGCCGCGUGAGUGAUGAAGGUUUUCGGAUCGUAAAGCUCUGUUGCCAGGGAARAACGUCCGGGUAGAGUAACUGCUAUCGGAGUGACGGUACCUGARAARAAAGCCCCGGCUAACUACGUGCCAGCAGCCGCGGUAAUACGUAGGGGCAAGCGUUGUCCGG